AUUGAACGCUGGCGGCAGGCCUAACACAUGCAAGUCGAACGGUAACAGGAAAAGACUUGCUUCUUUCCUGACGCGAGGCGGGCGGGUGAGUAAUAUCCGGCGGAAUGCCUUUUGGAGUGGGAUAAAUACUAGAAAAACUAGCUCAUACAGCAUAACGUCGCAAGAGCAAAGAGCGGGAGCUUCGGGCCUCUUGCCCUCUGGUGUGCCCAGAUGGGAUUAGCUAGUAGGUGGGGUAACGGCGCACCUAGGCGACGAUCCCUAGCUGGUCUGAGAGGAUGAUCAGCCACACUGGAACUGAGACACGGUCCAGACUCCUACGGGAGGCAGCAGUGGGGAAUAUUGGACAAUGGGCGCAAGCCUGAUGCAGCCAUGCCGCGUGUAUGAAGAAGGCCUUCGGGUUGUAAAGUCCUUUUAGCGGGGAGGAAAGGAGGAAGGUUAAUACCUUGCCGCAUUGACGGUACCCGAAGAAGAAGCACCGGCUAACUCCGUG
RNAcentral lists this ribosomal RNA (490 nucleotides) under uncultured bacterium. Its description in RNAcentral is "partial 16S ribosomal RNA". It matches the Rfam family "Bacterial small subunit ribosomal RNA", at positions 30 to 507 of the family's 1533-position model. The record is from RNAcentral.